CCCCUAGACGUUCUGGGCUGCACGCGCGCUACAAUAAUACGCACAGCGAGUAUCACCGAGCUCGAAAGGGCAAGGUAAACAAUAGAAAAGGUACUGUAAUGGUUAUAGAUCCUUGUAAUUAUUGAUCUUCAACGAGGAAUUCCUAGUAAGUAUGUGUCAUCAUCACGCACUGAUUACGUCCCUGCCCUUUGUACACAUCGCCCGUCGCUCCUACCGAUUGGGUGAGCCGAUGAAACUCUCGGAUGUAGGCUAUUCAUAGCCCGCAGAAGAGAUUUGAAUCGUAGCGCUUAGAGGAAGGAGAAGUCGUAACA
This 311-nucleotide ribosomal RNA is filed under the name uncultured eukaryote. Its description in RNAcentral is "partial 18S ribosomal RNA". It matches the Rfam family "Eukaryotic small subunit ribosomal RNA", at positions 1470 to 1796 of the family's 1831-position model. The record is from RNAcentral.